AGAGUUUGAUCCUGGCUCAGAGUGAACGCUGGCGGCGUGGAUUAGGCAUGCAAGUCGAGCGAUCCCCCGCAGGGAUAGCGGCAAAAGGGUGAGUAACACGUAAGUAAUUUUCCUUUAAGUCGGGGAUAGCAUUGUGAAAACGGUGGUAAUACCCGAUGUUAUCGGAGAUUCGCAUGAAUUUCCGAUCAAAGAUUGGGAUCCUUCGGGACCAGUCACUUAGAGAUGAGCUUGCGUACCAUCAGCUAGUUGGUAGGGUAACGGCCUACCAAGGCUAAGACGGUUAGCUGGUCUGAGAGGACGACCAGCCACAUUGGGACUGAGACACUGCCCAGACUCCUACGGGAGGCUGCAGUCGAGAAUAUUUAGCAAUGGACGAAAGUCUGACUAUGCGACGCCGCGUGCAGGAUGAAGGUCUUCGGAUUGUAAACUGCUUUUGUUAGGGGAGAAACCUGAAACGUUAAUAGCGUUUCAGCUGACGGUACCUGACGAAUAAGCUACGGCAAACCCCGUGCCAGCAGCCGCGGUAAUACGGGGGUGGCAAGCGUUACUCGGAAUUAUUGGGUGUAAAGGGCAGGUAGGUGGCUCUGUAAGUGAGGGGUGAAAUCCUGCGGUUUAAUCGCAGAACAGCCUUUCAAACUGCAGAGCUUGAGUGUGACAGAGGAAGAUGGAAUUCCUGGUGUAAGGGUGAAAUCUGUAGAUAUCAGGAAGAACACCAACGGCGAAGGCAAUCUUCUGGGUCACUACUGGCACUGAGCUGCGAAAGCUAGGGGAGCAAACAGAAUUAGAUACUCUGGUAGUCCUAGCCGUAAACGAUGAAUAC
Molecule: ribosomal RNA, 820 nt
Filed under: uncultured bacterium
Lineage: Bacteria
Description: bacterial SSU rRNA
Rfam family: Bacterial small subunit ribosomal RNA
Source: RNAcentral